Molecule: ribosomal RNA, 255 nt
Filed under: uncultured bacterium
Lineage: Bacteria
Description: partial 16S ribosomal RNA
Rfam family: Bacterial small subunit ribosomal RNA
Source: RNAcentral
UACAGAGGUCCCGAGCGUUGUUCGGAUUCAUUGGGCGUAAAGGGUGCGUAGGCGGCGAGGCCAGUCUGAUGUGAAAUCCCCGGGCUCAACCCGGGAACUGCAUUGGAUACUGCCUUGCUUGAGUACUGGAGAGGGAACUGGAAUUUACGGUGUAGCAGUGAAAUGCGUAGAGAUCGUAAGGAAGGCCAGUGGCGAAGGCGAGUUCCUGGACAGUUACUGACGCUGAGGCACGAAGGCCAGGGGGAGCAAACGGGG